Molecule: ribosomal RNA, 491 nt
Filed under: uncultured bacterium
Lineage: Bacteria
Description: bacterial SSU rRNA
Rfam family: Bacterial small subunit ribosomal RNA
Source: RNAcentral
UCAGUUGUGAAAGUUUGCGGCUCAACCGUAAAAUUGCAGUUGAUACUGGGUGUCUUGAGUACAGUAGAGGCAGGCGGAAUUCGUGGUGUAGCGGUGAAAUGCUUAGAUAUCACGAAGAACUCCGAUUGCGAAGGCAGCUUGCUGGACUGUAACUGACGCUGAUGCUCGAAAGUGUGGGUAUCAAACAGGAUUAGAUACCCUGGUAGUCCACACAGUAAACGAUGAAUACUCGCUGUUUGCGAUAUACAGUAAGCGGCCAAGCGAAAGCGUUAAGUAUUCCACCUGGGGAGUACGCCGGCAACGGUGAAACUCAAAGGAAUUGACGGGGGCCCGCACAAGCGGAGGAACAUGUGGUUUAAUUCGAUGAUACGCGAGGAACCUUACCCGGGCUUGAAUUGCAACUGAAUGAUGUGGAGACAUGUCAGCCGCAAGGCAGUUGUGAAGGUGCUGCAUGGUUGUCGUCAGCUCGCGCCGUGAGGUGUCGGCUUAAG